This 2581-nucleotide long non-coding RNA is filed under the name Arabidopsis thaliana (thale cress). RNAcentral's name for it is "long non-coding RNA (ATHA_LNC000231)". The record is from RNAcentral. Lineage: Eukaryota; Viridiplantae; Streptophyta; Magnoliopsida; Brassicales; Brassicaceae.
AAGCUUUGAACCAACUGGGUCAAACUCAUGCGAUUCAAUUUCAAUGCCCAUGGCUAUGCCCGCAAUGUCCUUGGAGCCAAGGGAGACAAGUUGGUUUCCUUUGUCUGAGUAAAAAUGAGCUAUGUAUUGAGUGAUUGCUCUUGAUUCUGCCAACAAAACAUUAAAAAAGUUGAGUGUUUCUGCUUUCUUUAAUUGCAAUUGUCAAAAACAGAAUUUGAGAUUAGGUCUAAAUUUAAGUGUUUUGCUGCUUACCGAAAAGCUUGAAGUCUCCAUCUUCAAAGGCUGGAACUUUACCAAAAGGCUGCAAAACAACAUUCAAGAUUUUUCAGACUAAAGGUUCAGUAUCUAAAUGAAACAAUAUUUUGUUUUGACAAAUAUUACUCACGUUGCGGAAGAUGAAAGGCUCUUUCUUGUGUUCACCAUCUUUGAGCUCGAUAUGAACGAAUUCAAAGUCGAGAUUCUUCUCGUGAAGAGCGAUGAGAACUCUUCUAGUGGCUGUGGAAGCUGGGUGACCGAAAACUUUGAUUCCUGCCAUUUGUUAAGACUUUGUUCUUAAAGCAAGGUGGAGAUUUAUUGAAGUAGAGAGAUCUUUGUGGUUGAUGAAAAGAAAUACACAAAUGGGAGAGUGUAUUUAUACAACUAAAUUAGAGUAACUUAGUGAAUAAACAAAAAACAAACGGCGCCACCAAGCUUGAAUACUCUUUGUUAUUUCAUAGUCAAGCUGAGUAACGUAUGAUUCGUCGUUUCUAUUGGUUCAAGAUUUUCAUAUACUGUUCAUAUAACUUAUAAAACAAUAUAAUCGGAGAAAAUAUCAACCAUGGCUGGAUAAGACAACAAGAAUAGUCUUUUAAUGUAUACUAGUCAAAGUUGACCGACGUUGUUGAAAACAUAUGGAUCGUUGGAUGUUCAAAUUGGAUCAUUGAAUCAAGGAGAUGAGGCAAUGUGAAGUUAUUAUUAGUCAAGAAGCUAUUCUUUUUGAAUCGUUCUUCGUAAUAAAUCUAUCUAGAACCUUCUCUAGCUUCGCCUUGCUUGCAUUCACAACCUUAUAGUCCGUCUUUAGAUUUAAUGGAUUAUACCCAUGUAAGUAUUGAUGCGAGUGGAUCGAACUCAUAAGUUUCAAUAUCCAUUCACAAUGUUUGUGUUCCCAUUGUUUUGUAGCUUUCGUAAUUCACAAGUUAUGAGCCUUUUGAUCUAUGGACAGACGAGAUGUAUUCAGAUAUAGCUCGAGACUCUGAGCAAGACUAGACAUAUCAAAAUUUUCCCGAAAUCAAACUCAAAAAUGUUUAUCAGAUCAAUAGUUGCAUGAGUAAGGUCAAGAGGCUAAAAACCCUAAUAAGAUAUAACAAAUAUAAGCAACUGAUCGUUACGUAAUAAUAUACCCUCGUUAUAACAAGUUUACUAGGUCGUCGAUGACUAAUCGCUAAAUUAGUAAACAAAAAUAGUUCAAAAUAGGUCUACUUCAGUAAAGAGUUUAGAGAUUAAAAGACGAUCGUUCGAGCAGAAAAGACCAGUUAAAUGGAAACCCUAGUUAAGACUUACAUUCCGUGAAUACAAGUAAUCUACCUAGGAAAUGAGAAUCCUAAUUCCGGCGAGAAUUGAAAAGGGUCUCCGUCUCCUGGUAAUAACCAUUUCCGUCGUUUCUUCGCACUCGAGUAAACAGAGGUUUUGCGACAGCUAUGCAAUUUAUUUAUAUGCUUUCCUAAGAAAACCCUAAUUUUAUCUUAAACACGCUUCCUUUUGUUCCUCUGUUUUAUUUCGGAAACUAAUUAACUUUCAACUUUUUUGAUCUAGGAACCUUUUUUGGUGACAGUUACGCUCAAACAAAUAUGAAUAACAUUGUUGACUUUGAAGCUUGCCAUCACCACAGAAGGUUUGGAAUCGAUUAGGGAAAGGAAGAAGAUUAGUGAUUGAUGAGUAGCAGAGCGACCUAAUUUGGAAGUCAACGUUCAAGACUUAGGAGAAUGAUAGUCAACUUUGAAGAAUGAGAUCAACAUUAAUUGGUAGUUAAACUUUAAGAUAAGAAAUAUUUUAUUAUAUCAAGACUCAUUAUCGAAGAUUACAUUCAAAUCAAACACUCGGCAGCAGAAAAACAGAGUAAACACAAAAAGAAAAACAGAGUUUAUGAGAAUUGGGCAAUUAGGUCAUCGCCACUUUUAUUACAUCUUCUGAUCGAUAAAUAGUUUGAGAUUCACUUAAAGAACCUUCUGAGCAGAAGGCCUUGAAGUGAUGUCAGCAACCCAAGCACUCACAUGUGGACGCUCGUCGAAGAGUUUCUUAGUUGGAGUUCCAAGUAAGUAUUGAAUCACAGGGAUAGUGUGAAGAUCGACCAAAGUGAAGUGGUCAGAAGCCAAAUACUUGGACUCACCAAGCCUGUGUUCGUAAACAUCGAGGACUUUGGCUAGCUUAGCCUCUUCUUCUUCAACAACGGUUUUGUCUGUGGUCAUACCAUACAAAGGCUUUAAGACUUGCUCCCAAACAAGCUUUGAACCAACUGGGUCAAACUCAUGCGACUCAAUUUCAAUGCCCAUGGCUAUGAUCGCCAUGUCCUUGCCAGUUGAGAGAAGGUUGUUUCCUUUGUCUG